AGGGCAGUAGCUCAGCGGUAGAGAUUUCGCCUCUUAUGGGACAAGAUCCGGGUUCAACUCUCGGCUGCUUUG
This 72-nucleotide transfer RNA is filed under the name Toxocara canis (dog roundworm). It matches the Rfam family "tRNA". Rfam says of the family: Transfer RNA (tRNA) molecules are approximately 80 nucleotides in length. Their secondary structure includes four short double-helical elements and three loops (D, anti-codon, and T loops). Further hydrogen bonds mediate the characteristic L-shaped molecular structure. tRNAs have two regions of fundamental functional importance: the anti-codon, which is responsible for specific mRNA codon recognition, and the 3' end, to which the tRNAs corresponding amino acid is attached (by aminoacyl-tRNA synthetases). tRNAs cope with the degeneracy of the genetic code in two manners: having more than one tRNA (with a specific anti-codon) for a particular amino acid; and 'wobble' base-pairing, i.e. permitting non-standard base-pairing at the 3rd anti-codon position. Lineage: Eukaryota; Metazoa; Nematoda; Chromadorea; Rhabditida; Toxocaridae. The record is from Rfam by way of RNAcentral.